UCUGGAAUCUGAAGAAAGGUGGCGGCAAAUCUCUGAUCUGGCAAAGAAAAACCACAUAUAAGGCGGUGCCAAUGGUAUGGGUAAGGUACAAAUCAAACUAAAGCAUAAUAACUACUCGAAAAUAGGUAAUGUAAAUGUGGCAUAUAGAUUGAGAAAAAGAUU
RNAcentral lists this non-coding RNA (162 nucleotides) under uncultured Clostridium sp. Lineage: Bacteria; Bacillati; Bacillota; Clostridia; Eubacteriales; Clostridiaceae. The record is from RNAcentral.